RNAcentral lists this long non-coding RNA (385 nucleotides) under Amborella trichopoda. RNAcentral's name for it is "long non-coding RNA (ATRI_LNC000746)". The record is from RNAcentral. Lineage: Eukaryota; Viridiplantae; Streptophyta; Magnoliopsida; Amborellales; Amborellaceae.
AAAACCUGAACCCGAAUAAUAUUCGGGUUUGGGUUCGAGUCCAACCGGAUCCAACUCGUACGGAACCUAUUGCCACCGCUAGUUAUAUGUGUGUGUGUGUGUUUGAGAGAGGGCAAAUGGGUAUGGCUAGAAAUACGAGUGGCAAUGGGCCGGGCUAGCCUUGGCCUGGUCUAGCCGAUAUCCUGUAGGCCUAGUCCCCUAGCCCUGUUAGGAUCCGUCAAGCCAGGCUGGGCAAAAAGCAAAUGAAAAGAAAAUAAAAGAAAGUUGAACUUGGCCGAAACUAGCCUUAGUGGGGCCCUUGAGCCACAUUUUGUAGCCCAACCCUACUUUUUUCAGAGGUGAGCUGAUUGGGCCGAGCCACCCGGCCCCUAGAGAUAAAAAAACG